RNAcentral lists this transfer RNA (94 nucleotides) under Streptomyces albogriseolus. Its description in RNAcentral is "tRNA-Arg". Lineage: Bacteria; Bacillati; Actinomycetota; Actinomycetes; Kitasatosporales; Streptomycetaceae. The record is from RNAcentral. RNAcentral also lists the same sequence under 1 other name.
CGUCGGCGGGGUCACCCGGCCGGGGCCGGCUCCGUACGCGGGUGCGGUUCCGGGCGCGGAGCCGGGCGCGGUUCAGCGGGCCGCGGCGAACGCC